GGUUCCUGGAAAGUGAAAAUUUCAUUUCUUUGUGGACAGCUCAGAGACCUAAUAGGAUGGGGUCUUAGAGAAACAUCUUUUGAGCCACAGACUUCUUUGUUACCAGAAGGAAAAUGAAAGAAGAAAUUUAAAUACCACUUGAAGAGAGUUUCCUCAUCAGCAAAGUCAGAAAAAGUAUGUACCUGAAGGACUGAUUGUAAGGCUGGGAUGAGAGAAUCCAUGUGAUCAGCCCUCACCAACAGGUGCUGCCCAGUUCAUGAGUGCUGCUGCUGUCCUGCCCAAGUACCCAGCUUGCAGAGUGCCAGAGUUAGAGUCCCAGGGGUGUUCUCCACAGCUGCAUGCUUGAUCCAGGCCUAUCAGAUAUAUUCCAUUGAAAGUCCUCAUUCUCAAAUUUAAAACAAAGACUUUUUGUGUACCUCAAUAGCAAUGCACACACAGUUGGCUUCACAAACAUAUUGUACAUUUCUUUUUUUCAUAUUUAUUCAACAAAUGUAUAUUGACUACCCACCGUGUGACAGGUGUUAUUUGUUGACGGAACCAGGCAUCAUCAGCAAACAAAACUGACAAAGCUUCCUGCCCUCUGUGGAAGGCAUCUGAGGAAGAGACUGGAUUUUGUAGCAACAUGUUAUUCUCAUUAUAAACUUUAUCAUUGGAAUACUAAAGCCAAAUCAUCCCCCAUCUCCUUGAUCAGGAUACCCACUUAAUCUAGGCAGCUACACAAUUGUGAGAGCCUUUGUUUUUUUCUGCUGAAACAUCCUUAAAAAGAUACCUCACAACCCAAGAUUUGGCUUUUCUUAAAUACGAUUUUUAAUUUUUUUCAUUUCUAUCUAGAGAUUUAAUUGGAAAUGGAAAAUCAUCAAUUUUCCAAUUAAAUGUCUGUUCCAAUCAACAUUAUACCUUUUAGGUUGUCAUUGUCAUUUUUAAGUUUAAGCAACUUUAAGGAUUUUGAAUCUGGCUGCCUGUAAAUUAAAGGUGAAAGUAAUCAUUGUGUUGGAUUGGAACAUUUUGUCAAUUGAGAGUGGUUUCCUUGUUCUUAGUGUAUGAAAAGUUUAUUUUUCUAAUGUAGAUUAAUAAAGGAGAUAAAGAAAAACAAAA
RNAcentral lists this long non-coding RNA (1095 nucleotides) under Homo sapiens (human). Its description in RNAcentral is "synapse stability regulating cerebellar lncRNA". The record is from RNAcentral. Lineage: Eukaryota; Metazoa; Chordata; Mammalia; Primates; Hominidae.